GACGAACGCUGGCGGCGUGCCUAAUACAUGCAAGUCGAACGGAAAGGUCCGGCUUUUGUUCCGUUCUCGAUUGCCGAACAGGUGUGUAACACGUGUGUAUCCUCCCCUUGUCUGUGGGAUAUCUUCUGGAAACUCGGGCGCAUACCCGGGAUAAUCUCCUGCUGCAUGGGGUUGGUUGGUAAGAUUCGGCGUUUGGGGAUGGACUCGCGGCUAAUCAGCUUGUUGGUGGGGUAGUGGAUUACAAAGUCUUUGGCGGGUAGCCGGCCUGGGCGGGUGACCGGCCACAUUGGGACUAAGGUACGGGCCAGACUGCUACGGGCGGCAGCAGUGGGGAAUCUUGCGCAAUGGGCGGAAGGCUGAUGCAACAAUGCCGCGUUCGAAAUGACGGCUUUUGGGUUGUAAACCGAUUUCGCCUGUGACGAUGAGUGAGUGACGGUAAUGGGUAAGGAAGCACCGGCUAACUACGUG
Molecule: ribosomal RNA, 468 nt
Filed under: uncultured bacterium
Lineage: Bacteria
Description: partial 16S ribosomal RNA
Rfam family: Bacterial small subunit ribosomal RNA
Source: RNAcentral